AGAGUUUGAUCCUGGCUCAGGAUGAACGCUGGUGGCGUGCUUAACACAUGCAAGUCGAACGAUCCUUCGGGAUAGUGGCGGACGGGUGAGUAACGCGUGGGAAUCUGCCCUCAGGAGGGGGAUAACGGCUGGAAACGGCCGCUAAUACCCCAUAUGCCGAGAGGUGAAAUGAAUUUCGCCUGAGGAUGAGCCCGCGUCUGAUUAGCUAGUUGGUGGGGUAAAGGCCUACCAAGGCAACGAUCAGUAGCUGGUCUGAGAGGAUGAUCAGCCACACUGGGACUGAGACACGGCCCAGACUCCUACGGGAGGCAGCAGUGGGGAAUUUUCCGCAAUGGGCGAAAGCCUGACGGAGCAACGCCGCGUGAGGGAUGAAGGCCUCUGGGCUGUAAACCUCUUUUCUCAAGGAAGAAGACCUGACGGUACUUGAGGAAUAAGCCACGGCUAAUUCCGUGCCAGCAGCCGCGGUAAUACGGGAGUGGCAAGCGUUAUCCGGAAUUAUUGGGCGUAAAGCGUCCGCAGGCGGCCUUGUAAGUCUGUUGUUAAAGCGUGGAGCUCAACUCCAUUUAAGCAAUGGAAACUACAAGGCUGGAGUGUGGUAGGGGCAGAGGGAAUUCCCGGUGUAGCGGUGAAAUGCGUAGAUAUCGGGAAGAACACCAGUGGCGAAGGCGCUCUGCUGGGCCAUAACUGACGCUCAUGGACGAAAGCCAGGGGAGCGAAAGGGAUUAGAUACCCCUGUAGUCCUGGCCGUAAACGAUGAACACUAGGUGUCGGGGGAAUCGACCCCCUCGGUGUCGUAGCCAACGCGUUAAGUGUUCCGCCUGGGGAGUACGCACGCAAGUGUGAAACUCAAAGGAAUUGACGGGGGCCCGCACAAGCGGUGGAGUAUGUGGUUUAAUUCGAUGCAACGCGAAGAACCUUACCAGGGUUUGACAUCCUGCGAACCCCUGAGAAAUCGGGGGGUGCCUUCGGGAGCGCAGAGACAGGUGGUGCAUGGCUGUCGUCAGCUCGUGUCGUGAGAUGUUGGGUUAAGUCCCGCAACGAGCGCAACCCACGUCUUUAGUUGCCAGCAUUCAGUUGGGCACUCUAGAGAGACCGCCGGUGAUAAACCGGAGGAAGGUGUGGAUGACGUCAAGUCAUCAUGCCCCUUACAUCCUGGGCUACACACGUACUACAAUGCUACGGACAAAGGGCAGCAAGCUCGCGAGAGUUAGCAAAUCCCAUAAACCGUGGCUCAGUUCAGAUCGUAGGCUGCAACUCGCCUACGUGAAGGAGGAAUCGCUAGUAAUCGCAGGUCGGCAUACUGCGGUGAAUACGUUCCCGGGCCUUGUACACACCGCCCGUCACACCAUGGAAGUUGGCCAUGCCCGAAGUCGUUACUCCAACCCUUGUGGAGGAGGACGCCGAAGGUGGGGCUGAUGACUGGGGUGAAGUCGUAACAAGGUA
RNAcentral lists this ribosomal RNA (1443 nucleotides) under metagenome. RNAcentral's name for it is "bacterial SSU rRNA". It matches the Rfam family "Bacterial small subunit ribosomal RNA". The record is from RNAcentral.